This 460-nucleotide ribosomal RNA is filed under the name uncultured bacterium. RNAcentral describes it as "partial 16S ribosomal RNA". It matches the Rfam family "Bacterial small subunit ribosomal RNA", at positions 338 to 795 of the family's 1533-position model. The record is from RNAcentral.
CCUACGGGCGGCAGCAGUGAGGAAUAUUGGUCAAUGGGAGGAAUCCUGAACCAGCCAUGCCGCGUGCAGGACGACUGCUCUACGGGUUGUAAACUUCUUUUGUACCGGGGUAAAAUGCCUUACGUGUAGGGUUUUGUAAGUACGUUACGAAUAAGGAUCGGCUAACUCCGUGCCAGCAGCCGCGGUAAUACGGAGGAUACGAGCGUUAUCCGGAUUCAUUGGGUUUAAAGGGUGCGUAGGUGGAUUGUUAAGUCAGUUGUGAAAUAACGAGGCUCAACAGUGAGGUUGCCGUUGAAACUGGCGGACUAGAGAUCGGAUGAAGCAGGCGGAAUGUGUGGUGUAGCGGUGAAAUGCAUAGAUAUUACAAAGAACUCCGAUUGCGAAGGCAGCUCGCUAGGCCGGAACUGACACUGAGGCACGAAAGUGUGGGUAUCGAACAGGAUUAGAUACCCCUGUAGUC